RNAcentral lists this transfer RNA (64 nucleotides) under Vibrio cholerae CP1050(23). Its description in RNAcentral is "partial tRNA-Gly". It matches the Rfam family "tRNA", at positions 1 to 63 of the family's 71-position model. Rfam says of the family: Transfer RNA (tRNA) molecules are approximately 80 nucleotides in length. Their secondary structure includes four short double-helical elements and three loops (D, anti-codon, and T loops). Lineage: Bacteria; Pseudomonadati; Pseudomonadota; Gammaproteobacteria; Vibrionales; Vibrionaceae. The record is from RNAcentral.
GCGGGCAUCGUAUAAUGGCUAUUACCUCAGCCUUCCAAGCUGAUGAUGCGGGUUCGAUUCCCGC